GCAAGUCGAACGAUGAAACAAUUCUUGAUGUCUUCGGACUGAUUGAGCUGUGGAUUAGUGGCGGACGGGUGAGUAACGCGUGAGCAAUCUGCCUUACACAAAGGGAUAGCCUCGGGAAACCGGGAUUAAUACCAUAUGAUAUCACAUUUUCGCAUGAAGAAGUGAUUAAAGAAUUUCGGUGUAAGAUGAGCUCGCGUCCCAUUAAUUAGUUGGUGAGGGUAACGGCCCACCAAGAUAGCGAUGGGUAGCCGAUCUAAGAGGAUGACC
This 267-nucleotide ribosomal RNA is filed under the name uncultured bacterium. RNAcentral's name for it is "partial 16S ribosomal RNA". It matches the Rfam family "Bacterial small subunit ribosomal RNA", at positions 57 to 305 of the family's 1533-position model. The record is from RNAcentral.